This is a long non-coding RNA of Zeugodacus cucurbitae (melon fly), 427 nucleotides long. RefSeq lists it as uncharacterized. The transcript is spliced from 3 exons. The record is from RefSeq and is a predicted model, not a curated record. NCBI's taxonomy places the organism in Eukaryota, Metazoa, Arthropoda, Insecta, Diptera, Tephritidae.
AACUAUUAUGUGUCCAUAUUAAAAGAUUUUGUGACAUCAAGUGCCAUACACUUAAUAAUUUUCUUUAAAAAAUAUUCAUUUAAAGGUCGUCAUUACGGCAGGAACUAUGUUGCCUCAGCAAUUGAUUGCGAUAAUUCUGGCAGUUGGGUUAUUCAUCAAUAUUUCCUUAGAUACGACUCAAGCUCAGUCAUCUUUUAGGGGAAUUGCAACUACUUCGAGAUAUGGAAUCAGAAGAUCUCCAAUUAGUAGUGCAACAACUAAAGCAUCUAAAGGAGCAACCAGAAAGAAGAAACGAGGAUGGAAAAGGAUUCGAAAAAUACUAAGGAGGGUUUUCCGUUCAACAAAAGAUAUUGCCAAAACAGAUAAAAUUCAUUGAGUUUAUAAAAUAAAAAAUAUUAUUUAAAAAAAUUAUUAUGAAUGUAAACAA